This 73-nucleotide transfer RNA is filed under the name Camelus bactrianus (Bactrian camel). It matches the Rfam family "tRNA". Rfam says of the family: Transfer RNA (tRNA) molecules are approximately 80 nucleotides in length. Their secondary structure includes four short double-helical elements and three loops (D, anti-codon, and T loops). RNAcentral also lists the same sequence under 1 other name. Lineage: Eukaryota; Metazoa; Chordata; Mammalia; Artiodactyla; Camelidae. The record is from Rfam by way of RNAcentral.
GAGGGUAUAGCUCAGCAGAAGAGUGUAUGCUUAGCAUGCACGAAGGGCCUGGGUUCAAUCCCCAGUACCUCCA